This 801-nucleotide ribosomal RNA is filed under the name uncultured bacterium. RNAcentral's name for it is "bacterial SSU rRNA". It matches the Rfam family "Bacterial small subunit ribosomal RNA", at positions 63 to 860 of the family's 1533-position model. The record is from RNAcentral.
CGAGGGGCACACGGUGUAGCAAUACAUUGGUGGCGACCGGCGCACGGGUGAGUAACGCGUAUGCAACCUACCUAUCAGAGGGGAAUAACCCGGCGAAAGUCGGACUAAUACCGCAUAAAACAGGGGUUCCACAUGGAAAUAUUUGUUAAAGAAUUAUCGCUGAUAGAUGGGCAUGCGUUCCAUUAGAUAGUUGGUGAGGUAACGGCUCACCAAGUCCACGAUGGAUAGGGGUUCUGAGAGGAAGGUCCCCCACACUGGUACUGAGACACGGACCAGACUCCUACGGGAGGCAGCAGUGAGGAAUAUUGGUCAAUGGGCGAGAGCCUGAACCAGCCAAGUCGCGUGAAGGAUGAAGGAUCUAUGGUUUGUAAACUUCUUUUAUAUGGGAAUAAAGUGAGGAACGUGUUCCUUUUUGUAUGUACCAUAUGAAUAAGCAUCGGCUAACUCCGUGCCAGCAGCCGCGGUAAUACGGAGGAUGCGAGCGUUAUCCGGAUUUAUUGGGUUUAAAGGGUGCGUAGGUGGUUAAUUAAGUCAGCGGUGAAAGUUUGUGGCUCAACCAUAAAAUUGCCGUUGAAACUGGUUGACUUGAGUAUAUUUGAGGUAGGCGGGAUGCGUGGUGUAGCGGUGAAAUGCAUAGAUAUCACGCAGAACUCCGAUUGCGAAGGCAGCUUACUAAACUAUAACUGACACUGAAGCACGAAAGCGUGGGGAUCAAACAGGAUUAGAUACCCUGGUAGUCCACGCAGUAAACGAUGAUUACUAGCUGUUUGCGAUACACAGUUAGCGGCACAGCGAAAGCGU